GACGAACGCUGGCGGCGUGCUUAACACAUGCAAGUCGAACGGAAAGGCCCUGCUUUUGUGGGGUGCUCGAGUGGCGAACGGGUGAGUAACACGUGAGUAACCUGCCCUUUACUUUGUGAUAACUUCAGGUAACUGGGGCUAAUACCGGAUAGGAGCUCCUGCUGCAUGGUGGGGGUUGGAAAGUUUCGGCGGUUGGGGCUGGACUCGCGGCUUAUCAGCUUGUUGGUGAGGUAGUGGCUUACCAAGGCUUUGACGGGUAGCCGGCCUGAGAAGGUGACCGGCCACAUGGGGACUGAGAGAAGGCGCAGACUCGUACGGGAGGCAGCAGUGGGGAAUAUUGCACAAUGGGCGGAAGCCUGAUGCAGCAACGCCGCGUGCGGGAAGACGGCCUGCGGGUUGUAAACCGCUUUCGCCUGUGACGAAGCGUGAGUGACGGUAAUGGGUAAAGAAGCACCGGCUAACUACGUG
Molecule: ribosomal RNA, 468 nt
Filed under: uncultured bacterium
Lineage: Bacteria
Description: partial 16S ribosomal RNA
Rfam family: Bacterial small subunit ribosomal RNA
Source: RNAcentral